RNAcentral lists this ribosomal RNA (200 nucleotides) under uncultured bacterium. RNAcentral's name for it is "partial 16S ribosomal RNA". It matches the Rfam family "Bacterial small subunit ribosomal RNA", at positions 29 to 256 of the family's 1533-position model. The record is from RNAcentral.
AACGAACGCUGGCGGCAUGCCUAACACAUGCAAGUCGAACGAACUCUCCGGAGUUAGUGGCGCACGGGUGCGUAACGCGUGGGAAUCUGCCCUUGGGUACGGAAUAACUCAGAGAAAUUUGUGCUAAUACCGUAUAAUGUCUUCGGACCAAAGAUUUAUCGCCCAAGGAUGAGCCCGCGUAAGAUUAGCUUGUUGGUGAG